RNAcentral lists this ribosomal RNA (1250 nucleotides) under Pallisentis nagpurensis. RNAcentral's name for it is "partial large subunit ribosomal RNA". It matches the Rfam family "Eukaryotic large subunit ribosomal RNA", at positions 862 to 2008 of the family's 3401-position model. Lineage: Eukaryota; Metazoa; Acanthocephala; Eoacanthocephala; Gyracanthocephala; Quadrigyridae. The record is from RNAcentral.
UAGCGUAUGAGAGCCGUAGGCCUCUUUCACGUGCAAAUCAAUCGUCAGACUUGAGUAUAGGGGCGAAAGACUAAUCGAACCAUCUAGUAGCUGGUUCCCCUCGCAGUUUCCCCCAGGAAAGCUGGUGUCAUAUGUGACAAUUUUAUCUGGUAAAGCGAAUGAUUAGAGGCAUUGGGGACAAACUGUCUUCGACCUAUUCUCAAACUUUAAAUGGGUAAUGAGCCGAAACACUUCGUGAUUGACCUGCUAUUGGUAAAAUGCAAUGAUACCAAGUGGGCCACUUUUGGUAAGCAGAACUGGCGCUGUGGGAUGAACCAAACGUUGAGACUAGGGUGCCCAAAGUGCUUCUCAUGAGAUACCAUGAAAGGUGUCAGUCGAUAUUGGACAGCAGGACGGUGGCCACAGAAGUCGGAAUCCGCUAAGGAGUGUGUAGUAACUCACCUGCCGAAUCGACUGGCCCUGAAAAUGGAUGGCGCUGGAGACGUAUACCCAUGCUCGACCGUCAAUGCCAAACGUGCCAUACAUCGAAUUUCUGGCUUGACGUGUAGAGGGGCGACUGCGACGGCGUCGAAAUCUGCAGCGAGAGCAGGCAUAAAACCGUUGCAGUGUGCAGAUCUUGGGGGUAGCAGCAAGUAUUCAAAUGAGAGCAUUGCAUGACUGAAGUGGAGAAAGGUUCCAUGUGAACAUCAUUUGGACAUGGAUCAGCCGAUCCUAAGAGAACGUACUAAGUUCAUGAUGAAGCGCGUCGCUUUUGUGCGAUGACAAACAAAAGGGAAUCGGGUCUAAUAUUACCGAGCCAGGACUACGGAAAAUCGUCUGAUGCCCCAACAGAUGCAUCGGUCGCUGUUGGAAUCAGGCGAGAGCGGUAACGCUAACAAACCCAGAGAAUAACUAUGCGAUGUCCGGGGAAGAGUUUUCUAUCCUUCGUUAGCAAUCUUAUCCCUGGAAGUCAGAUGGUCUGCCGAUAGCGUACGCAAUCCGUAAUGCAACGCAGAUUCCUGCGAAUGUACCGUGCGCCAUUGCAUACGUGCCUGAGAAAUCUCGGGGCGGAGUUCAAUCUUGUUCGUACCGUGAUGCGAACUCGAGUUACGCAGCUAGGUCUCCAAGUGUGAGACAGCAUCUAGUCUCAUAAGGGACAAAGUAGACAAGGGAGAGUCGGCAAAGUCGAUCCGUAACGUCGGAAAAAGAAUUGGCUCUAGAAGCUGAGCUCAUACGGGCUGUUGCAAGAAAUGGCGAGCCUGCUGAAGCGC